CCACAACGCAGGGAUGCUUUACACAUGCAAGUCGAACGGCAGCACGGACUUCGGUCUAUGGCGGAGUGGCGAACGGUGAGUACGUAUCGGAACGCUCAGUAGCGGGGGAUAACUACGAAAGCGUAGCUACUACCGCAUACGCCCUUCGGGGAAAGCGGGGACCUUCGGGCCUCUGCACUAUUAGAGCGGCCGAUAUCGGAUUAGCUAGUUGGUGGUAACGGUCACCAAGGCGACGAUCCGCUGGUUUGGGAGGACGACCAGCCACACUGGGACUGAGACACGGGCCCAGACCCUACGGAGGCAGCAGUGGGGAAUUUUGGACAAUGGGGAAAUCCCUGAUCCAGCCAUUCCGGGCGUGCGAUGAAGGCCUUCGGGUUGUAAAGCACUUUGGCAGGAAAAGAAACGGCACGGGAUAAUACUCCCGUGCAACUGACGGUACCUGCAGAAUAAGCACCGGCGAACAGCGGCCGGCCUGCCUUACACUGCUAUGGAAGACUGAAUUACUGGCGGAAGCGUGCGCAGGCGGUUCGGAAAGAAAGAUGUGAAAUCCCAGAGCUUAACUUUGAACUGAUGACCUACUGGUUUGAGUGAAGUCAGAGGGAAAUGGAAUUCUUCGCGUGUAGCAGUGAAAUGCGUAGAUAUGGAGACAACGACAGAAGGCAGCCUCCUGGGAUAACACUGACGCUCAUGCACGAAAGUAGAGAUAAAGACUAGAUACCCUGGUAAUCCACGCUCAAAUGAUGUUAACUAGCUGUUAGCCUUCGCCUUGAAAGGCAGCUAACGCGAAGUUGACCGCCUGGGGAGUACGGUCGCAAGAUUAAAACCAAUAAUGAUUGUGACCCACAAGGGUGGAGAUGCGGACACCUGAUGCACGCGAAAAACCCCAUCUACCCUUGACAUGUUCGAACUGAAGAGAUUUGGGAGUGCUCGCAAGAGAACCGGAACACAGGUGCUGCAUGGCUGUCGUCAGCUCUCGUGUCGUGAGAUGUUAGCAGGAGUCCCAGAAGGUUAACCCUUGUCAUUAGUUGCACAGUGCGCACUCUAAUGAGAUUGCCGGUGAUACAAACCGGAGGAAGGUGGGGAUGACGUCAAGUCCUCAUGGCCUCUUAUGGGUAGGGCUUCACACAUCAUACAAUGGUCGGGACAGAGGGUCGCCAACCCGCGAGGGGGAGCCAAUCCCGUGAAACCCGAUCAGCCCGGGAUCGCAGUCUGCAACUCGACUGCAGUCGGGAAUCGGCAGGACUGCGGAUCAGCAUGUCGCGGCAGGAAUACGUUCCCGGGUCUUGGCGCACCUGCCCGUCACACCAUGGGAGUGGGUUUUACCAGAAGUAGUUAGCCUAACUGUAAGGAGGGCGAUUACCACGGUAGGAUUCAUGACUGGGGUGAAGUCGUAACAAGGUAG
Molecule: ribosomal RNA, 1402 nt
Filed under: uncultured Bordetella sp.
Lineage: Bacteria; Pseudomonadati; Pseudomonadota; Betaproteobacteria; Burkholderiales; Alcaligenaceae
Description: partial 16S-23S ribosomal RNA intergenic spacer
Rfam family: Bacterial small subunit ribosomal RNA
Source: RNAcentral